RNAcentral lists this transfer RNA (93 nucleotides) under Betaproteobacteria bacterium. RNAcentral's name for it is "tRNA-Ser". It matches the Rfam family "tRNA". Rfam says of the family: Transfer RNA (tRNA) molecules are approximately 80 nucleotides in length. Their secondary structure includes four short double-helical elements and three loops (D, anti-codon, and T loops). Lineage: Bacteria; Pseudomonadati; Pseudomonadota; Betaproteobacteria. The record is from RNAcentral.
GGAGAGGUGGCCGAGUGGUCGAAGGCGCGCCCCUGCUAAGGGCGUAUAUGCUCAAAACGCGUAUCGAGGGUUCGAAUCCCUCCCUCUCCGCCA